This 700-nucleotide ribosomal RNA is filed under the name Actinomycetes bacterium. RNAcentral describes it as "bacterial SSU rRNA". It matches the Rfam family "Bacterial small subunit ribosomal RNA", at positions 90 to 803 of the family's 1533-position model. Lineage: Bacteria; Bacillati; Actinomycetota; Actinomycetes. The record is from RNAcentral.
GAUUAGUGGCGAACGGGUGAGUAACACGUGGGCAAUCUGCCCUGCACUCUGGGACAAGCCCUGGAAACGGGGUCUAAUACCGGAUACUGACCCGCUUGGGCAUCCAAGCGGUUCGAAAGCUCCGGCGGUGCAGGAUGAGCCCGCGGCCUAUCAGCUUGUUGGUGAGGUAAUGGCUCACCAAGGCGACGACGGGUAGCCGGCCUGAGAGGGCGACCGGCCACACUGGGACUGAGACACGGCCCAGACUCCUACGGGAGGCAGCAGUGGGGAAUAUUGCACAAUGGGCGAAAGCCUGAUGCAGCGACGCCGCGUGAGGGAUGACGGCCUUCGGGUUGUAAACCUCUUUCAGCAGGGAAGAAGCGAAAGUGACGGUACCUGCAGAAGAAGCGCCGGCUAACUACGUGCCAGCAGCCGCGGUAAUACGUAGGGCGCGAGCGUUGUCCGGAAUUAUUGGGCGUAAAGAGCUCGUAGGCGGCUUGUCGCGUCGGUUGUGAAAGCCCGGGGCUUAACCCCGGGUCUGCAGUCGAUACGGGCAGGCUAGAGUUCGGUAGGGGAGAUCGGAAUUCCUGGUGUAGCGGUGAAAUGCGCAGAUAUCAGGAGGAACACCGGUGGCGAAGGCGGAUCUCUGGGCCGAUACUGACGCUGAGGAGCGAAAGCGUGGGGAGCGAACAGGAUUAGAUACCCUGGUAGUCCACGCCGU